This 468-nucleotide ribosomal RNA is filed under the name uncultured bacterium. RNAcentral's name for it is "partial 16S ribosomal RNA". It matches the Rfam family "Bacterial small subunit ribosomal RNA", at positions 28 to 507 of the family's 1533-position model. The record is from RNAcentral.
GACGAACGCUGGCGGCGUGCUUAACACAUGCAAGUCGAACGGAAAGGCCCUGCUUUUGUGGGGUGCUCGAGUGGCGAACGGGUGAGUAACACGUGAGUAACCUGCCCUUGACUUUGGGAUAACUUCAGGAAACGGGGGCUAAUACCGGAUAGGAGCUCCUGCUGCAUGGUGGGGGUUGGAAAGUUUCGGCGGUUGGGGAUGGACUCGCGGCUUAUCAGCUUGUUGGUGGGGUAGUGGCUUACCAAGGCUUUGACGGGUAGCCGGCCUGAGAGGGUGACCGGCCACAUUGGGACUGAGAUACGGCCCAGACUCCUACGGGAGGCAGCAGUGGGGAAUAUUGCACAAUGGGCGGAAGCCUGAUGCAGAAACGCCGCGUGCGGGAUGACGGCCUUCGGGUUGUAAACCGCUUUCGCCUGUGACGAAGCGUGAGUGACGGUAAUGGGUAAAGAAGCACCGGCUAACUACGUG